CCUACGGGUGGCAGCAGUGAGGAAUAUUGGUCAAUGGGCGCGAGCCUGAACCAGCCAAGUAGCGUGAAGGAUGACUGCCCUACGGGUUGUAAGCUUCUUUUAUAAAGGAAUACAGUUAGGCACGUGUACCUUUUUGUAUGUACUUUAUGAUUAAGGAUCGGCUAACUCCGUGCCAGCCGCCGCGGUAAUACGGAGGAUCCGAGCGUUGUAUGGAUUUAUUGGGUUUAAAGGGAGCGUAGAUGGGUUGUUAAGUCAGGUGUGAAAGUUUGCGGCUCAACCGUAAAAGUGCAAUUGAUACUGGCAGUCUUGAGUACAGUUGAGGUAGGCGGAAUUCGUGGUGUAGCGGUGAAAUGCUUAGAUAUCACGAAGAACUCCGAUGGCGAAGGCAGCUUACUAAGCUGCCACUGACAUUGAUGCUCGAAAGUGUGGGUAUCAAACAGGAUUAGAUACCCGUGUAGUC
Molecule: ribosomal RNA, 460 nt
Filed under: uncultured bacterium
Lineage: Bacteria
Description: partial 16S ribosomal RNA
Rfam family: Bacterial small subunit ribosomal RNA
Source: RNAcentral